UAGGGAAUCUUCCACAAUGGACGCAAGUCUGAUGGAGCAACGCCGCGUGAGUGAAGAAGGUUUUCGGAUCGUAAAGCUCUGUUGUUGGUGAAGAAGGAUAGAGGCAGUAACUGGUCUUUAUUUGACGGUAAACAACCAGAAAGUCACGGCUAACUACGUGCCAGCAGCCGCGGUAAUACGUAGGUGGCAAGCGUUGUCCGGAUUUAUUGGGCGUAAAGCGAGCGCAGGCGGAAUGAUAAGUCUGAUGUGAAAGCCCACGGCUCAACCGUGGAACUGCAUCCGAAACUGUCAUUCUUGAGUGCAGAAGAGGAGAGUGGAAUUCCAUGUGUAGCGGUGGAAUGCGUAGAUAUAUGGAAGAACACCAGUGGCGAAGGCGGCUCUCUGGUCUGCAACUGACGCUGAGGCUCGAAAGCAUGGGUAGCGAACAGG
RNAcentral lists this ribosomal RNA (429 nucleotides) under Bacillota bacterium. RNAcentral describes it as "Firmicutes bacterium partial 16S ribosomal RNA". It matches the Rfam family "Bacterial small subunit ribosomal RNA", at positions 355 to 776 of the family's 1533-position model. Lineage: Bacteria; Bacillati; Bacillota. The record is from RNAcentral.